AGGAUUAUAGUUUAUUAAAAACAUUUGAUUUGCACUCAAAAAAUAUUGACUUCAAUUUAUCUUA
RNAcentral lists this transfer RNA (64 nucleotides) under Papilio memnon. Its description in RNAcentral is "tRNA-Ala". It matches the Rfam family "tRNA". From Rfam's summary of the family: Transfer RNA (tRNA) molecules are approximately 80 nucleotides in length. Their secondary structure includes four short double-helical elements and three loops (D, anti-codon, and T loops). Further hydrogen bonds mediate the characteristic L-shaped molecular structure. tRNAs have two regions of fundamental functional importance: the anti-codon, which is responsible for specific mRNA codon recognition, and the 3' end, to which the tRNAs corresponding amino acid is attached (by aminoacyl-tRNA synthetases). tRNAs cope with the degeneracy of the genetic code in two manners: having more than one tRNA (with a specific anti-codon) for a particular amino acid; and 'wobble' base-pairing, i.e. permitting non-standard base-pairing at the 3rd anti-codon position. The record is from RNAcentral. Lineage: Eukaryota; Metazoa; Arthropoda; Insecta; Lepidoptera; Papilionidae.